Aethina tumida (small hive beetle) is the source of this 530-nucleotide long non-coding RNA. RefSeq lists it as uncharacterized. The record is from RefSeq and is a predicted model, not a curated record. The transcript has 2 exons. NCBI's taxonomy places the organism in Eukaryota, Metazoa, Arthropoda, Insecta, Coleoptera, Nitidulidae.
CUCAAAUAAAUACACAUUUGAUUCGAAUGACGCUACUGCGGGACAUUAUAAAUACGGAGACGAUCGCAUGGUUACUUCAUAAUAACCUAUUCAGUGAAACGAACUCCACGCGUUGUUUAAACAGUGACAGACGUUUGAAUAUAGUGAGUGAAAAUGUACACAAAUCCCUUCAGUCGUACACACAGCAGCAUCCGCCAUGCAAUUGAUAAAUUUUUGCACAUGGAUAACAAGAAGUCAUCAAAAAGAGGUGGACUGUCCAGAAAUUCGUCGAAUUCCUCAGUCUCAUCCUUCAAAUCGAAUUGUUCGAGUUGUAAAUCGCAUAAAUCAUUGGGAAAAAGUAUACUGAAGUGAUCUUUGGAUUAACAAUUGAAUCUAGAAUCAAGACUGAAUGUAGACCAUAAAGUUUUUAAUCAAAAGGAUCUUGUGGAUGCAGUGGAUGUGAUAUUCUCAAAUAUGCUUAAUAAUUUAGUUAUAAUAAUUUAUUAACUUAAUUUAUUGUUUUAAAUAAAUUGUCAUACUAUAAACUUGAA